Molecule: long non-coding RNA, 329 nt
Filed under: Salvia miltiorrhiza (redroot sage)
Lineage: Eukaryota; Viridiplantae; Streptophyta; Magnoliopsida; Lamiales; Lamiaceae
Description: long non-coding RNA (SMIL_LNC009660)
Source: RNAcentral
AAAAUUCGUUAAUUAAGAAACGUUUAUAUUUUAUACACUUAAAAGUGUUUUUAUUCUAGCUCACCCCAAUCACUUUUUGUGUAUAUAUAUUACUUUACCCUUAAUGACAUUAUAAUAAAGAAUAAAUAAAAGGAAAAAUAAAAUUAAAAGAAAAUAUAAUUAAAAAUUCUGGAAGAAAAGAAAACGUAAGAAAUAUUCACAAACCACCCAAACCCCCACCGCCCUACCCCUACCCAUCCCCGAAUCCAUUUUCCCCCAAAUUUGCUUAUGGAAUUACACACUAUUGCAGUCAAUACAUUUUUGUCUUACACCGCGCUCAAGCUCCUCCA